RNAcentral lists this ribosomal RNA (189 nucleotides) under Symbiodinium sp. clade D. RNAcentral's name for it is "partial Bacterial large subunit ribosomal RNA". The stretch from base 60 to 189 matches the Rfam family "Bacterial large subunit ribosomal RNA", at positions 1792 to 1963 of the family's 2925-position model. Lineage: Eukaryota; Dinophyceae; Suessiales; Symbiodiniaceae. The record is from RNAcentral.
AGUUGGCUCCAAGAACUCGACCCAUAACUUGUCUAACUUAGGGAUAACAAUGGUGUUUAUCGGGCGACUGUAUAGCAAAUACACAGGUUUUAGUUAAAGAUGUUUAGAUUUUAGAGCUGAUAUGUGACCAGCGUGUGCUAAUAUCUCCACAAACGUUGGCCGUAACUAUAACGGUCCUAAGGUAGCAAA